Non-coding RNA from Oryctolagus cuniculus (rabbit), 3600 nucleotides. Lineage: Eukaryota; Metazoa; Chordata; Mammalia; Lagomorpha; Leporidae. The record is from RefSeq and is a predicted model, not a curated record.
CCGAUGUGAAGCCAGCACAGAGGAACUGCUUCCAGGUCUCCCACAUGGGUGCAGGGACCCAUGCACGUGGGCCAUGUUCCUCUGGGUUGCCAGGCCAUAAGCAGAGAGCUGGAUCAGAAGAGGAGCAGCCAGGACAUGAACUGGCACCCACAUGGGAGGCUGGCUCCUCGGCAGAGGUUUAACCCACCAUGUCACAGCACCGGCCCCAGAAGAUAGUUUCAUUGGAAGGCCGAGUGACACAGAGAGAAGCAUAGACUGAGAGAGAGAGAGAGACCUCUCAACUGCUGCUGGUUCAUUCCCCAGUGAUCUCUAGGUCAAGUGAGAAGCCAGGAGUCGGGAACUGCACCGGGUCUCGCCCAAGACAGUGGCCUAGACCCAAGGACUGGGGCCACAUCCUCUGCCUUCCCAGCACAUGAGCAGGGAGCUGCAUCAGAACCUGAGCCGCAGGCACGUUAACAUGGAGCUGCAUGGGAACCCAAGCACCAGGAAUUGCACCAAUGUCUCAGUUAAGGGUUCCGGGUGUUACAAGCUGCAUCAUUGCAUUCGGAUGAAGUUGGCCAGCACCCUUUCUAUGCUUUGUGAGUAAUUAACUUAUAAAUUUAUUAAUUAAUUACUGUAAAUCUUAAAUAUUCGCUUUGCUAAGUUGGAGCAGGAAUAGGUAUUGCAGGUAUAUGGGGAAUGUACUGAUUUAAGUUCUGUUUUCUCUCUCUCUUCCUCGCUGUCUCCGACAAACCAUAGCUACCUGGUUGUUUCUUUCAGUUACGGAUCUUUUUGAUCCUGGAAGGUCAACUUCAGCAAUGUGCAUCUUUUGCAAUAGGUCUGACAUUCACGAGGGUGCCUGUGUCCCAGCUUGCAGAGCCUCGGUUGAGGCGCAGCCCCCACUGGGCAUUCCAGCUUGCUGGGGACACAGACUGCAGCAGGCAGCAGGUGAGGGUUGAAGCACUUGGGAUCCUGCCACACACCCUGGAGGCCUGCAGUCAAAUUCUGGGGCCCGUCUACAGCCUAGUCCAGCACUAGUGUUUUGAGAAAUGUGGGAGGGAAAUAGCAGAUGGGAAUUGGAUCUGCCUGUUGGUAUUUCUGUCUCUGUGUCCCUCUCCUGGUGACAUAGUGCUCCUUAAGAUUUCUUUCAUUAAUUGGAAAGGCAGAGUGAUAGACAGAGGGAGACAGACAUGGUCCAAAGUGGUAUUCCCUGUGGUUGGCAAGGGCCUGAGUACUUGGGCUGUCUGCUUCUUGUUUCCCAGGCACGCUAGCAGGGAGCUGCAUGAGAGGCAGAGCAUCGGCAGUGGAACCCCAGCUCCUGUGUCUAUGCCCAGGUUGGAAGCAGAGACUUAACACCCUCAGCCACGGAGCUAGCCAGCUCCCAGCCUUACGUCAAUUCAUAAUGAAUAAAUUCAUUGAUUGUUGGUAAAACCUGCCUUCCAGUGGAGCUGUCACGUAUAGGGAGGGAAUGCAUACUGCUGGGAUUGGGGGACUGAACCAGCACAUAGGACUGCGUCCCUUUCUGGUUCUCCUUGGCUAUCUGUCUGCCAUUCUAACUAACAAAAUUACACACUGUAUUGAAAUUUUGACCAUAAUAUUUGUCUGUUUGCUCCUCCUCUGAGAUUCCUGCAUCCAUUCAAAAGGCAGGGUUUGAGAGCCAGAGGGUCACAAAGUGGGAGAGGUUCAGCGAUCUUCGAUGUGCCAGAACCCUCCCCAGCUGUCUGCAGUUGCCUGGGCUGAGUUUGGCUGAAGCCAGGAGCCCACAAGACCAUCAGGUGUUGACUGAGGGUGUCACGGAGUCCAGGGAUCCUGGUUGUCCUCUGCUGAUUUCCAGGUGCAUUCUCUGUGAGCUGUAUGCCAGUGGAGCAGCAGUUACUCAAACCCACGUGCAAAUGGGCUGCCUGGCUAGGGCACCAGUGUCUCAUUCACCUGCCUCACCAUGAGUCUGGGCACCAGAAGCUGGACGGGGGACCAUGAGCUGGGGGUGGACAUGGGGACUGGUGGGUGUGACACUCCCUGUGAUGCUCACACCCCACGUGGGAGGGCCUGGCGUCCAGUGCAGGCUCUGCUCCAGUUCUGACUCCUCCCAGACACACUGUGGGAGGCAGCAGGUGAAGGACAGGGGAACUCAGUCCCUACCGUCCAUGUGGGAGAGCUGGGAUCAGAGAGCCCACACAGAGAGAGAAAGGACACCUCUCAUCCCAAGUUUGCCAGCACUCACUCUCAUUUUCCAGUCCAUUGUUCCUGUUGUGGGAUCUUGCCAGAGAACCUGGUGACCUGGAUUCAGAUCUGGGGCCUGGCUUCCUCUGGCCCAGUAGAUGACCACAGCUGCUGUUGCUGCAUCGAUGUGAAGCCAGCACAGAGGAGCUUCCUCCAGCAGAGGAAAACAGAAAUCAGACACAGAGAGAGAAGAUAUACCUCCCCACUGAAGUUCUCCAGCACCCUCUCUGUUUUUGCAGGUAAAUUAUCUGCUAAUUAAUUAAUUAACUAGUAAGGAACCAUGAGGAUUGCGUCAUUUGGGGACAGCACUAGCAAAUGGAAGAGCUCUUCUCUCUUGCACACUGUCAGAGUCCAUCUAUAGCAGUCCAUGUGGGAUCCCGCCAGAGAACCUGCAGACCAGGAUUCAGAUACUGGGCCUGGCUUCUGCCUGGCUUAGAACUAGGUUUUCCCAACAACUGCGGAGGGAAAUAGCAGAUGGCAGUUUUUGUCUGUCCAUCUGUCCAUCACCCUUAGUUUCUCUGGCGUUUAUUGAUUGUGUUGAGAGAUCUUUUAUUUCUGUGAAAGGCAGAGUGUCACAGAGAAGCAGAGACAGAGAUAGAGACUUCUCAUCUGCUGGUUCACUUCCCAGAUGAUCUCAGAGGCUGGGUGUGGGCCAAAUGGGAAACCAGGAGAAGGGAACUUCACUGAGGUCUCCCUCCCUGUUGUGUGGGCCUGUGGACUUGGGCCACCUUCCUCUGCCUUCUCAGGCAUGCUAGCAGGGAGCUGCAUCCAGAACCUGAUCUCCUGGGGAAUCCUCCCCUGCUCAGAUAUACGUUGUGGGAGUUGUAAGCUGCACCAAAGCUUUCUGCUGAAGUUUUCCUGCACUCUGUGCACUAUCACAGGUAACCAAGCUAUUAGUUGAUAAAUAAAUUACUACAGAUCUUUUUUUUUUUUUUGACAGGCAGAGUGGACAGUGAGAGAGAGAGAGACAGAGAGAAAGGUCUUCCUUUGCCCUUGGUUCACCCUCCAAUGGCCGCCGCGGCCAGCGCACUGUGGCUGGCACACCACGCUGAUCCGAUGGCAGGAGCCAGGUACUUCUCCUGGUCUCCCAUGGGGUGCAGGGCCCAAGCACUUGGGCCAUCCUCCACUGCACUCCCGGGCCACAGCAGAAAGCUGGCCUGGAAGAGGGGCAACCGGGACAGAAUCCGGUGCCCGGACCAGGACUAGAACCCGGUGUGCUGGCGCCGCAAGGCGGAGGAUUAGCCUAGUGAGCCGCGGCGCCGGCACUACAGAUCUCAAGGUUUUGCAUUUCUAUGACAGGAGUAUCAUGGUGCAUUGUGGAAAUUGGAGACUGUACUAGCUAAUGAAGAAUUCAUUUCUCGCUCUCUUUCAUGCUCUCUCAGUCCACCUGGAGAUAGCUGU